This 482-nucleotide ribosomal RNA is filed under the name uncultured bacterium. RNAcentral's name for it is "bacterial SSU rRNA". It matches the Rfam family "Bacterial small subunit ribosomal RNA", at positions 30 to 506 of the family's 1533-position model. The record is from RNAcentral.
UUGAACGCUGGCGGAAUGCUUUACACAUGCAAGUCGAGCGGCAGCGCGGUCUUCGGACUGGCGGCGAGCGGCGAACGGGUGAGUAAUACAUCGGAACAUGCCCAGUCGUGGGGGAUAACACUUCGAAAGAAGUGCUAAUACCGCAUACGUCCUGAGGGAGAAAGCGGGGGAUCGCAAGACCUCGCGCGAUUGGAGUGGCCGAUGUCAGAUUAGCUAGUUGGUGGGGUAAAGGCCUACCAAGGCAACGAUCUGUAGCUGGUCUGAGAGGAUGAUCAGCCACACUGGGACUGAGACACGGCCCAGACUCCUACGGGAGGCAGCAGUGGGGAAUUUUGGACAAUGGGGGCAACCCUGAUCCAGCCAUUCCGCGUGAGUGAAGAAGGCCUUCGGGUUGUAAAGCUCUUUCGGCAGGAACGAAACGGCGAGCUCUAACAUAGCUCGCUAAUGACGGUACCUGAAGAAGAAGCACCGGCUAACUACGU